UACGGAGGGGGCGAGCGUUAUUCGGAAUUAUUGGGCGUAAAGGGCGCGUAGGCGGCUAUUCAAGUCAAAGGUGAAAUCCCUCGGCUCAACUGAGGAACUGCCUUUGAAACUGAAUGGCUUGAGUCCGGGAGGGGGUAGCGGAAUUCCCAGUGUAGCGGUGAAAUGCGUAGAUAUUGGGAGGAACACCAGUGGCGAAGGCGGCUACCUGGACCGGAACUGACGCUGAUGCGCGAAAGCGUGGGGAGCAAACAGG
RNAcentral lists this ribosomal RNA (253 nucleotides) under uncultured bacterium. RNAcentral's name for it is "partial 16S ribosomal RNA". It matches the Rfam family "Bacterial small subunit ribosomal RNA", at positions 524 to 776 of the family's 1533-position model. The record is from RNAcentral.